This 460-nucleotide ribosomal RNA is filed under the name uncultured bacterium. RNAcentral's name for it is "partial 16S ribosomal RNA". It matches the Rfam family "Bacterial small subunit ribosomal RNA", at positions 338 to 795 of the family's 1533-position model. The record is from RNAcentral.
CCUACGGGGGGCAGCAGUGAGGAAUAUUGGUCAAUGGACGAGAGUCUGAACCAGCCAAGCCGCGUGAAGGAUGACGGCCCUAUGGGUUGUAAACUUCUUUUAUAAGGGAAUAAAACGAGGUACGCGUGCCUUUUUGCAUGUACUUUAUGAAUAAGGAUCGGCUAACUCCGUGCCAGCAGCCGCGGUAAUACGGAGGAUCCGAGCGUUAUCCGGAUUUAUUGGGUUUAAAGGGUGCGUAGGUGGGUGGUUAAGUCAGUUGUGAAAGUUUGAGGCUCAACUGUGAAAUUGCAUUUGAUACUGGCAGUCGUGAGGACAGUUGAGGUAGGCGGAAUUCGUGGUGUAGCGGUGAAAUGCUUAGAGAUCACGGAGAACACCGAUUGCGAAGGCAGCUUACCAAGCUAUGACUGACAUUGAUGCUCGAAAGUGUGGGGAUCAAACAGGAUUAGAUACCCCAGUAGUC